UGCAGUCGACGAUUAACUUUCCUUCGGGAAAGAUAUAAAGUGGCGCACGNCCUUUUUAACACGUAGGUAAUGUGCCUUUGGGUGGGGAAUAACNUAUGGAAACUUAAGCUAAUACCGCAUAAUGCAGCGGCUUCUUCGGAAGACAGUUGUUAAAGAUUUAUCGCCUAAAGAGCAGCCUGCGGCAGAUUAGCUAGUUGGUAAGGUAAUGGCUUACCAAGGCUACGAUCUGUAACCGACCUGAGAGGGUGGUCGGUCACACUGACACUGAAUAACGGGUCAGACUCCUACGGGAGGCAGCAGUCGGGAAUUUUGGGCAAUGGGCGAAAGCCUGACCCAGCAACGCCGCGUGAAGGAUGAAGUCUUUCGGGAUGUAAACUUCGUAAGAAUAGGAAGAAUAAAUGACGGUACUAUUUGUAAGGUCCGGCUAACUACGUGCCAGCAGCCGCGGUAAUACGUAGGGACCAAGCGUUGUUCGGAUUUACUGGGCGUAAAGGGCGCGUAGGCGGCGUGUCAAGUCAAUUGUGAAAUCUCCGAGCUUAACUCGGAACGGUCAAUUGAUACUGAUGUGCUAGAGUGCAGAAGGGGCAAUCGGAAUUCUUGGUGUAGCGGUGAAAUGCGUAGAUAUCAAGAGGAACNCCUGAGGCGAAGACGGGNUUNCUGGGCUGACACUGACGCUGAAGCGCGAAAGCUAGGGUAGCAAACGGGAAUUANANACCCCCGGUAGUCCUANGCCCUAAAACGAUGAA
Molecule: ribosomal RNA, 746 nt
Filed under: uncultured bacterium
Lineage: Bacteria
Description: bacterial SSU rRNA
Rfam family: Bacterial small subunit ribosomal RNA
Source: RNAcentral